RNAcentral lists this long non-coding RNA (711 nucleotides) under Lathyrus oleraceus (garden pea). Its description in RNAcentral is "Pisum sativum (pea) long non-coding RNA (PSAT_LNC024546)". The record is from RNAcentral. Lineage: Eukaryota; Viridiplantae; Streptophyta; Magnoliopsida; Fabales; Fabaceae.
UCAGUAAAAUCCUGCAUAAUCACAUUUUAAACAUUCUGCAGGUACAAGUUAUCUUAUGUGAAGACAACAUAUGUGACAACUUGUGAACACUCUAGGUUUUACCAAAAUUGCUGCCAACACAAGAACCAACAAACUCCCCCUUUGGCAAAUUUUGGCUAAAACAUAUAUCAAUCCAUUUGUUCACAAGAGUAAAAAACAUAUCAGCAGUUAAGCAACAACAGAAGUAAUAAACCACACAUUAGUAAACACACAUUAAACACAUUUGUGCUUCUUCUCCCCCUAAGUCUGUUCAACAUAGACAUCUCCUUCAACAACACAUGUAACAUCCAUCACCCCAUCUGACAUCUCCUUCAACAUCACCUGUACAACACAAAACAUCAUUCUGUUCAACAUCAGCUGUCAUCACAUAUUAACUGCAGCUCUCCACAUAUUAACUGCAACUCUCCACAUUAACUUCUCCCCCUUUUUAGUCAAAAUAGACCAAAGAGACCAAUUAGACAAAAUAAAUGUCAAUUAGUCCAACAGAGAAUGUCACAUAGAAUGGUAAAACAUAUAGAAUGUUAAAACAUAACGCCAGGUGUUACAAAACCAUAAUUAUACACAGCUAUAAAAGCUGAGAUAAAAAGAAAUCCAGAGAAAUCACAAAGAGAACCCAAAAGUUACAUCAUGGCAUCAAAACAAGACUACAAAAAAAAACAUCAAACAUCAAAG